GAGGCGGGGAUUGCGGCGGCGGGGAUGUGGAGGCGUUGAAUAGGUCAGACCACGAUACGUUUUCACUCCUCAGGCGUUUGGAGCCACGUUAUUGGAACUAGCUGGCGUCGUCAUGGUCACCUGGAACAAGUCAGUCAGUGUUGGGUAGACCUCCAAGCCACUACCACCAUCACCAUCACCACUACCAGUACGUGGAGCGAAAGAUGAAACGGUGUGUGUCUAGUGAGGUGGGCGUCCCCUGGAGAUGUGUACUGAGUGCGUAAACCUGGAAGGAGAGAUGGAUAAGCGUGAAGGAAUCUUGCUCUGUAGGUGUUAUUUUUCAUCACAAUGGUUCUCCUCCUCCUCCUCCUCCUCCUCCUCCUCCUCCUCCUCCUCCUCCUCCUCCUCCUCCUUCU
Molecule: long non-coding RNA, 395 nt
Organism: Portunus trituberculatus (swimming crab)
Lineage: Eukaryota; Metazoa; Arthropoda; Malacostraca; Decapoda; Portunidae
Exons: 3
Source: RefSeq, a predicted model, not a curated record